ACUCCUUUAAAGAAGAAGUUUCUGAGUAGUUUUUCUAUGGCUGUGAUGCUUGGUCUAUCGUGGGUCACUGGUUACAUUUUGCUUUUCACCCAAGAUCCAACUCUUCACCUCAUCCUGAGCAUAGUUUUUUGUGUCUGCAACACAACACAGGGCAUACAAAUAUUUAUUUUAUUCACUCUGAAAUCCGUAAUAAAAUCAAAUCCAGCCAUUCUUAAUGCUAUGAAUGCACCCAAAGUUGGCAUUCACAGGAAAGUGUUCUUCCUAUGGAAAGUUAAGGCAGAAGAAAACAUUGAAAUCUACAGACCCACUGAUCCUGACUCCGCUGAGAUGUCUCAGGUCAUCACUGAGCUGAAGUAGAUCACUGGAGGCUGUGGCUGUGCUGCAUGAUCACAUCAGUAUAAAGGCACAACAUGAAGUAAAUCUCUGUGAAAGACCUCCUUAAAUGGAUGCUGAGGAAGGGGGAUACCAACUUGAAUUAUGGUGGAUGCAUGACAACAUGGCAGAUUGGUGUCAUUAUUUAAAAAAACCAGUUUGAUUUAAUUUAGUAUGCAACUUAGUUUUAUAUAACAGGCAUUUUAGAUGCGUGUCAAUUUCUCUAAUUGCAUUAAAUCUUUUUUUAAUUCAGAAACCGAUCACAGGCAACACUUUUUACAGUUAAAGUUGAACAAUGAAAUUAUUGUUUGAAUUACAGACAAUUAUUUUCACAGUUAUUAUCACUAACAUACAUCUUCUGAAAAAUUGCAAUGAUACCAUGUAGUUCAUAUAUUUAAUCAUUUUCUGUUUUUCUUUUCAU
Misgurnus anguillicaudatus (oriental weatherfish) is the source of this 793-nucleotide non-coding RNA. NCBI's taxonomy places the organism in Eukaryota, Metazoa, Chordata, Actinopteri, Cypriniformes, Cobitidae. The record is from RefSeq and is a predicted model, not a curated record.